CUAUGCGCCUUCGCCACGCCCGCUCAAGAAACUUAAAGGAAUUGGACGGGGCCCGCACAAGCGGAGGAACAUGUGGUUUAAUUCGAUGAUACGCGAGGAACCUUACCUGGGCUUAAAUGGGGAGUGACAGCUGUCGAAAGAUGGUUUUCUUCGGACACUCUUCAAGGUGCUGCAUGGUUGUCGUCAGCUCGUGCCGUGAGGUGUCGGGUUAAGUCCCAUAACGAGCGCAACCCUUACCGUUAGUUACCAUCAGGUUAAGCUGGGGACUCUAGCGGGACUGCCACCGUAAGGUGAGAGGAAGGUGGGGAUGACGUCAAAUCAGCACGGCCCUUAUGUCCAGGGCUACACACGUGUUACAAUGGCCGGUACAAAGGGCAGCUACUUCGCGAGAAGAUGCUAAUCUCGAAAGCCGGUCUCAGUUCGGAUCGAAGUCUGCAACUCGACUUCGUGAAGCUGGAUUCGCUAGUAAUCGCGCAUCAGCCAUGGCGCGGUGAAUACGUUCCCGGGCCUU
This 511-nucleotide ribosomal RNA is filed under the name uncultured Sphingobacteriales bacterium. RNAcentral describes it as "bacterial SSU rRNA". It matches the Rfam family "Bacterial small subunit ribosomal RNA", at positions 903 to 1382 of the family's 1533-position model. The record is from RNAcentral. Lineage: Bacteria; Pseudomonadati; Bacteroidota; Sphingobacteriia; Sphingobacteriales.